Long non-coding RNA from Cynoglossus semilaevis (tongue sole), 1070 nucleotides. RefSeq lists it as uncharacterized. The transcript has 5 exons. The record is from RefSeq and is a predicted model, not a curated record. Lineage: Eukaryota; Metazoa; Chordata; Actinopteri; Pleuronectiformes; Cynoglossidae.
CUUCCAUGGUGAAGAUGAGCUGCCGCAGUCGAGGUCUGAAGCCGUUCCUGUCGUACUUGACCACCGGGACACUGGUGUGUGGACAGAAGAAGAAGAAGAAGAAAUAAUACCUCUGCAGAAAGAUCUCAUAUUUGCGGCGGUAGGCGAAGCCAGCCCGUCUGACCCUCAGAUGUUCCAUCAGUCCCAGGUACUUGACCUGGUGUCGGACCAACACGUCAUCGAAACGACCUGCGGGACACAGAGCAGCCGCUGGUGACCAGCUCACGGGUCAAAUUUCCGGUCUCCUCUUGCUGUCCGGCUCAGUGGUAGGAAAACAGUGAGUGAUGAUGGCGUUUUUGGACCGACGCAUGACCUGAGGAACAGGGUUUCAAACACAGAUGGGUUCGCGACCCUGACCUGCACCAGAUAACUGUACUGCUGACAGUUCCUCUGGAGGCCGAGCCAGAGAAGGAGAUCGUCCUCGCCUCCUUCCACCAGCUGGUAGAAGAUGUGGAAGUUCCUUUCUCCGUGGUUCUGGUGAACGACGCGAGACUUCUCCAACAGGAACGACGCUGCUGAGGGAAACCCUGAAGUCAGAACCGGACGACACCAAAGAAGAAGAAGCUAACGUCAUCGCAAACGUCCAGGAAAGACGUGCAGUGAUAAUUCAGAUCUGUGUUUUAGUGUCAUGUGUGAAUCUGUUCAAACCCCGGCUCUGUUGUUACCUCCUUCACUUCCAGCGCCAUGUGGGUCAUGGUUGGUUCCUGCAGUGACCCGGAUUAAUCCAAACUCAGAACCAGAGUCUCUCUUCAAAGACGUACGCAGCUCAAGGAGACAAAGUUGGUCAAAAGAAUCACCACCAUCAUACGACCAGGAGGUCUCCCAUGGUUCUGGAGUCGUCUGUCUCCUGUCUCCGUCAGCUCCGGUGUCAAUCUGUCCUGGACUGGAAGACCGGCGGAACCAGAGAAGAGGACGAAGAGACUGCACCAGGAGGAGGAAGACGAGGAGAAGGAGGAGGAGGAAGAAAAAGAAGGAGAAAGGUGGCACGGCUGCUCCCCACUGGACCUCUGUCUCUUCUGGUCUUCUGUCUC